GCUGGGCAUGGUGGUGCAUGCCUGUAAUUUCAGAAACUUUGGAGGCUGAGUAAGGAGGAUCACAAGGUUGAGGCCAGUCUCAGCAAUUUAGCGAGGCCCUGAGCAACUUAGUGAGAUCCUCUCUCAA
This 127-nucleotide small RNA is filed under the name Marmota monax (woodchuck). Lineage: Eukaryota; Metazoa; Chordata; Mammalia; Rodentia; Sciuridae. The record is from RNAcentral.